AUUGAACGCUGGCGGCAUGCCUUACACAUGCAAGUCGAACGGUAACAGGUCUUCGGAUGCUGACGAGUGGCGAACGGGUGAGUAAUACAUCGGAACGUGCCCGAUCGUGGGGGAUAACGAAGCGAAAGCUUUGCUAAUGCCGCAUAAGAUCUACGGAUGAAAGCAGGGGACCGCAAGGCCUUGCGCGAACGGAGCGGCCGAUGGCAGAUUAGGUAGUUGGUGGGAUAAAAGCUUACCAAGCCGACGAUCUGUAGCUGGUCUGAGAGGACGACCAGCCACACUGGAAAGGAGACACGGCCCAGACUCCUACGGGAGGCAGCAGUGGGGAAUUUUGGACAAUGGGCGAAAGCCUGAUCCAGCCAUGCCGCGUGCAGGAUGAAGGCCUUCGGGUUGUAAACUGCUUUUGUACGGAACGAAAAGACUCUUUCUAAUAAAGAGGGUCCAUGACGGUACCGUAAGAAUAAGCACCGGCUAACUACGUGCCAGCCGCCGCAGUAA
This 498-nucleotide ribosomal RNA is filed under the name uncultured bacterium. RNAcentral's name for it is "partial 16S ribosomal RNA". It matches the Rfam family "Bacterial small subunit ribosomal RNA", at positions 30 to 523 of the family's 1533-position model. The record is from RNAcentral.